AACAAACGCUGGCGGCGUGCCUAACACAUGCAAGUCGUACGAGAAAGUCCGCUUCGGUGGAUUAGUAAAGUGGCGCACGGGUGAGUAACGCGUGGAUAAUCUACCCUUUAGUCUGGAAUAACUUAUCGAAAGGUGAACUAAUACCGGAUAAUAUCCCGAUUUCUUCGGCGAUUGGGAUCAAAGAAGGCCUCUGCUUGCAAGCUUUUACUGAAGGAUGAGUCCGCGUACCAUUAGCUAGUUGGCAGGGUAAUGGCCUACCAAGGUUAUGAUGGUUAGCUGGUCUGAGAGGAUGAUCAGCCACACUGGAACUGAGACACGGUCCAGACUCCUACGGGUGGCAG
This 341-nucleotide ribosomal RNA is filed under the name uncultured Pseudomonadota bacterium. Its description in RNAcentral is "bacterial SSU rRNA". It matches the Rfam family "Bacterial small subunit ribosomal RNA", at positions 29 to 351 of the family's 1533-position model. Lineage: Bacteria; Pseudomonadati; Pseudomonadota. The record is from RNAcentral.